GGGCGAAAGCCUGACGCAGCAACGCCGCGUGAGUGAUGAAGGCUUUCGGGUCGUAAAGCUCUGUCGAGGGGAAAGAAGUGUAUUGUGGCUAAUAUCCACGAUACUUGACGGUACCCCUAAAG
RNAcentral lists this ribosomal RNA (122 nucleotides) under Geobacter sp. enrichment culture. RNAcentral describes it as "partial 16S ribosomal RNA". It matches the Rfam family "Bacterial small subunit ribosomal RNA", at positions 373 to 486 of the family's 1533-position model. The record is from RNAcentral. Lineage: Bacteria; Pseudomonadati; Thermodesulfobacteriota; Desulfuromonadia; Geobacterales; Geobacteraceae.